GGGAAUCUUGGGCAAUGGGCGAAAGCCUGACCCAGCAAUACCGCGUGAGGGAUGAAGGCCUUCGGGUCGUAAACCUCUGUCAGCAGGAACGAUGGGUCUCCGUGCUAAUACCACGGAGUCUUGACGGUACCUGCAAAGGAAGCCCCGGCUAACUCCGUGCCAGCAGCCGCGGUAAUACGGAGGGGGCGAGCGUUAUCCGGAAUCAUUGGGCGUAAAGAGCUCGUAGGCGGUUCAGCAAGUCGGCUGUGAAAGUCCAAGGCUUAACCUUGGAAAUGCAGUCGAUACUGCUGUGACUAGAGUCUGGUAGAGGAGAAUGGAAUUCCCGGUGUAGCGGUGGAAUGCGCAGAUAUCGGGAGGAACACCAGUAGCGAAGGCGGUUCUCUGGGCCUCGACUGACGCUGAGGAGCGAAAGCAUGGGUAGCAAA
This 425-nucleotide ribosomal RNA is filed under the name uncultured bacterium. RNAcentral describes it as "bacterial SSU rRNA". It matches the Rfam family "Bacterial small subunit ribosomal RNA", at positions 357 to 772 of the family's 1533-position model. The record is from RNAcentral.